Long non-coding RNA from Oncorhynchus keta (chum salmon), 555 nucleotides. RefSeq lists it as uncharacterized. The transcript is spliced from 3 exons. NCBI's taxonomy places the organism in Eukaryota, Metazoa, Chordata, Actinopteri, Salmoniformes, Salmonidae. The record is from RefSeq and is a predicted model, not a curated record.
UAUUAGUCUAUUGUCACAAACAGAUGAGGAAACCCUGGAUAGAAUGGCCGAAAUAAGGGUAAAAGCGAGGACAAAGCUUUGUGGACGUGAAAUAAACAAACGUGCUAGGCGAAAGGGACUGGCAUAGAAUUCCUCAAAGUUUUAAAUGAUACUGUGUUCCUGUGAUGAAGAUUUCAAACGGAGCAGCUGGUGCCUGUUUUGUAGAUUUAGGAAAGACCUUCCAGGAACUCUUCCCGUCCCGGUCUCGGACACUGCACGGAGACUCCCGGUCAUGUUUCCAGCUCUUUGAAAAGGUGAAACGAAUAAGAUUAAAAUGGACAAAGAAUUUUCUGUAAGUGUAUCAUUAAGAUUUGACUCCACAGAUCGGGAAGAGAGCUGGACGGAGAGAGAGAGAGAGAAGGGUGACAGUGAAUGAGAGCAGCGGGAAGAAGGCUAUCGCACGAAAACAGGAGCGAAAAAGAGAACGUGGACAGCAGGGUAUUAAACGAAGAAGCACUCAGCGACAACUAUUAGGCUAUAGUGGACGGGAAACAUCGGUACCUGAAUCACCAGCCA